AACGAACGCUGGCGGCAUGCCUAACACAUGCAAGUCGAACGAUCCCUUCGGGGAUAGUGGCGCACGGGUGCGUAACGCGUGGGAACCUGCCCUUAGGUUCGGAAUAACUCAGAGAAAUUUGAGCUAAUACCGGAUAGUGUCUUCGGACCAAAGAUUUAUCGCCUUUGGAUGGGCCCGCGUUGGAUUAGCUAGUUGGUGGGGUAAAGGCCUACCAAGGCGACGAUCCAUAGCUGGUCUGAGAGGAUGAUCAGCCACACUGGGACUGAGACACGGCCCAGACUCCUACGGGAGGCAGCAGUGGGGAAUAUUGGACAAUGGGCGAAAGCCUGAUCCAGCAAUGCCGCGUGAGUGAUGAAGGCCUUAGGGUUGUAAAGCUCUUUUACCCGGGAUGAUAAUGACAGUACCGGGAGAAUAAGCCCCGGCUAACUCCGUG
This 433-nucleotide ribosomal RNA is filed under the name uncultured bacterium. Its description in RNAcentral is "partial 16S ribosomal RNA". It matches the Rfam family "Bacterial small subunit ribosomal RNA", at positions 29 to 507 of the family's 1533-position model. The record is from RNAcentral.